RNAcentral lists this ribosomal RNA (468 nucleotides) under uncultured bacterium. Its description in RNAcentral is "partial 16S ribosomal RNA". It matches the Rfam family "Bacterial small subunit ribosomal RNA", at positions 28 to 507 of the family's 1533-position model. The record is from RNAcentral.
GACGAACGCUGGCGGCGUGCUUAACACAUGCAAGUCGAACGGAAAGGCCCUGCUUUUGUGGGGUGCUCGAGUGGCGAACGGGUGAGUAACACGUGAGUAACAUGCCCUUGACUUUGGGAUAACUUCAGGAAACUGGGGCUAAUACCGGAUAGGAGCUCCUGCUGCAUGGGGGGGGUUGGAAAGUUUCGGCGGUUGGGGAUGGACUCGCGGCUUAUCAGCUUGUUUGGGGGGUAGUGGCGUACCAAGGCUUUGACGGGUAGGCGGCCUGGGAGGGUGGCCGGCCACAUUGGGACUGCGAUACGGCCCAGUCUCCUACGUGCGGCAGCAGUGGGGAAUAUUGCACAAUGGGCGGAAGCCUGAUGCAGCAACGCCGCGUGCGGGAUGACGGGCUUCGGGUUGUAAACCGCUUUCGCCUGUGACGAAGCGUGAGUGACGGUAAUGGGUAAAGAAGCACCGGCUAACUACGUG